CACCAAUGCCAGCAACCGAGGCGUGAAGGGUGGUGGGCCGGGUACCUUCUGGUCCUGUACCCUUCUCUUUGAACAGGCAGUUCUGCAACCUCUUGAAAUCUAUGCCUGAGUCUCACUGAAGAGGAGUGGGUGUGUGUGUGUGUGUGCCUGUGCCUACCCAGACACCGUGAGCAGACCUGGCGGCUCCUCACCCCCCGUGCCCACAGUCCAGCCGUAGAAAGAGGCCAGGGAGAGGACAUGGUGCCUUCCUGCUCCCGUCUGAAGCAGUGGGCAGAAGACACGGAGGAUGUGCAGGGAGAGCCGGGGGCAGGUGUGCAGAAAUAGCCGGGAAGAGUGUGUCCACAUGGGGAAGCUUCUUUGCAAACUUCUAUGGACUGGGCUUCACCCAUACACCAGGCUCUGCCUUUUCACGGGCGUUCCCAUUCAAAUACCCCCACAGGUCAGCCAGACAGCACGAGUGCCCAUCCUUCCCCAAGAGGAGUGGCGAUUCCGGGCCAGAGAGGCUGAGCUCCUUACCCAGCAUGGCGCUGGGGGGCAGGGGCCAAGAUGACAUUGGCAGGUCUCCUGACUCAAGUCCAACGCUUCCCCACCCUGCUUCUAAGGCUCCACCUUGGAAAGCCCCCAAGGAGCACAAGGUCAAGGUGGAUGAGCACACAGUGGUAAGUAGCCUGGCUCCUCCUCCUGGGUACCCGAGUAUGACGAGGGCGUGCAGUCUUGGGGCAGCCUCGG
This 729-nucleotide long non-coding RNA is filed under the name Microcebus murinus (gray mouse lemur). RNAcentral describes it as "lncRNA (ENSMICG00000048590.1)". The record is from RNAcentral. Lineage: Eukaryota; Metazoa; Chordata; Mammalia; Primates; Cheirogaleidae.